GAUGAACGCUGGCGGCGUGCCUAAUACAUGCAAGUCGAGCGACCAGACGAGGAGCUUGUUCCUCUAACGUUAGCGGCGGACGGGUGAGUAACACGUGGAUAACCUACCUAUAAGACUGGGAUAACUUCGGGAAACCGGAGACAAUACCGGCUAAUAUAUUGAACCGCAUGGUUCAAUAGUGAAAGACGGUUUUGCUGUCACUUAUAGAUGGAUCCGCGCCGCAUUAGCUAGUUGGUAAGGUAACGGCUUACCAAGGCAACGAUGCGUAGCCGACCUGAGAGGGUGAUCAGCCACACUGGAACUGAGACACGGUCCAGACUCCUACGGGAGGCAGCAGUAGGGAAUCUUCCGCAAUGGGCGAAAGCCUGACGGAGCAACGCCGCGUGGGUGAAGAAGGUCUUCGGAUCGUAAAACUCUGUUAUUAGGGAAGAAAAGAUGUAUAAUAAACUAUGCACGUCUUGACGGUACCUAAUCAGAAAGCCACGGCUAACUACGUG
This 497-nucleotide ribosomal RNA is filed under the name uncultured bacterium. RNAcentral describes it as "partial 16S ribosomal RNA". It matches the Rfam family "Bacterial small subunit ribosomal RNA", at positions 28 to 507 of the family's 1533-position model. The record is from RNAcentral.